GCAGCGGAGCGUGUGGUUAAUUUCGAUGUAUACACGAAGAACCUUACCCAGGCUUGACAUGUUGGUAGUAGGGAUCCGAAAGGUGACGACCUUCGGGAGCCUUCACAGGUGCUGCAUGGCUGUCGUCAGCUCGUGUCGUGAGAUGUCCGGUUAAGUCCGGUAACGAGCGCAACCCUCGCUGUGUGUUAUAUGUGUCACACGGGACUGCCGGUAUCAAGCCGGAGGAAGGUGGGGAUGACGUCAAGUCAGCAUGGCCUUUAUGUCUGGGGCUACACACACGCUACAAUGGCCAGUACAAUAGGUUGCAAGACCGCGAGGUGGAGCCAAUCCUUAAAGCUGGUCUCAGUUCGGAUUGCAGGCUGCAACUCGCCUGCAUGAAGUCGGAGUUGCUAGUAACCGCGCGUCAGCUAUAGUGCGGUGAAUACGUUCCCGGGCCUU
RNAcentral lists this ribosomal RNA (438 nucleotides) under uncultured Anaerolineaceae bacterium. RNAcentral's name for it is "bacterial SSU rRNA". It matches the Rfam family "Bacterial small subunit ribosomal RNA", at positions 929 to 1382 of the family's 1533-position model. The record is from RNAcentral. Lineage: Bacteria; Bacillati; Chloroflexota; Anaerolineae; Anaerolineales; Anaerolineaceae.